AACUGAUGAGAUGAUAACGCUAAUGCAGUUAUAUUAGAGAACGACAUGAGGUGCUCCGUAUCUUUUGUGACUAUAACGUAACGACAUAGAGGAUACCGCUUGUUGCACUUCUGUUUCAUCAUUAGAUCGGCCUUGAAUAAUUGGGUGUAAUUGAUCCUCCUUUUUUUUUACCCGAAUAAUUAUUCCUCUUGAUUUGUUCCUACUUCAUUAGAGUGUACACCUCCAAAUUGUUAAUAGGAAUUAAGCAUGCGUGGACUAAAGGUGAUUGUACUAUCUUCAAUCCUACGAGUGCUAGCAGGGAAAGCAACGUAGGAGCAGUAUUCUACUGCUACUAGCAACAGAUUGCGGAGGAGCCAGGGCACUCAUAUGUCGAGGUUCGGCAAAACAGAAAAAGAAAAAAAAGAAGUCAAAGUGGAUACCCGGAUAAGUCAAACUCUGACCCCCGCGUCGCCCUCCUUUGGCGACCCGGGGGAACCCUAGGCGCCGCCGGCCCAAGCCCUCCCCCAUCUCCUUCCCUCGCAUCGCCGCCGCCGGAGGGGUGCCAAGGUGGCGGCGGGGCGGUUUUCUUCCCCUUCGCGCGUGGAAGCGGUGGUUCUGCACGGGGCGG
This 607-nucleotide long non-coding RNA is filed under the name Brachypodium distachyon (stiff brome). Its description in RNAcentral is "long non-coding RNA (BDIS_LNC000327)". Lineage: Eukaryota; Viridiplantae; Streptophyta; Magnoliopsida; Poales; Poaceae. The record is from RNAcentral.